GCUCCCGUAGCAAAGUGGUCAAUGCGUCGUGCUUAUAUCUAAUAUAUACUUUAGUCACGCGAAGGUCGCGGGUUCGAUCCCCGCCGGGAGCA
Non-coding RNA from Massospora cicadina, 92 nucleotides. The record is from the annotation of a GenBank genome assembly. Lineage: Eukaryota; Fungi; Entomophthoromycota; Entomophthoromycetes; Entomophthorales; Entomophthoraceae.